UACCACCCUUUAAUGUUUGAUGUUCUAACGUGGACCCGUAAUCCGGGUUGCGGACAGUGUCUGGUGGGUAGUUUGACUGGGGCGGUCUCCUCCUAAAGAGUAACGGAGGAGCACGAAGGUUGGCUAAUCCUGGUCGGACAUCAGGAGGUUAGUGCAAUGGCAUAAGCCAGCUUGACUGCGAGCGUGACGGCGCGAGCAGGUGCGAAAGCAGGUCAUAGUGAUCCGGUGGUUCUGAAUGGAAGGGCCAUCGCUCAACGGAUAAAAGGUACUCCGGGGAUAACAGGCUGAUACCGCCCAAGAGUUCAUAUCGACGGCGGUGUUUGGCACCUCGAUGUCGGCUCAUCACAUCCUGGGGCUGAAGUAGGUCCCAAGGGUAUGGCUGUUCGCCAUUUAAAGUGGUACGCGAGCUGGGUUUAGAACGUCGUGAGACAGUUCGGUCCCUAUCUGCCGUGGGCGCUGGAGAAUUGAGGGGGGCUGCUCCUAGUACGAGAGGACCGGAGUGGACGCAUCACUGGUGUUCGGGUUGUCAUGCCAAUGGCACUGCCCGGUAGCUAAAUGCGGAAGAGAUAAGUGCUGAAAGCAUCUAAGCACGAAACUUGCCCCGAGAUGAGUUCUCCCUGACUCCUUGAGAGUCCUGAAGGAACGUUGAAGACGACGACGUUGAUAGGCCGGGUGUGUAAGCGCAGCGAUGCGUUGAGCUAACCGGUACUAAUGAACCGUGAGGCUUAACCUU
RNAcentral lists this ribosomal RNA (733 nucleotides) under Escherichia coli. RNAcentral's name for it is "partial 23S ribosomal RNA". It matches the Rfam family "Bacterial large subunit ribosomal RNA", at positions 2198 to 2925 of the family's 2925-position model. The record is from RNAcentral. Lineage: Bacteria; Pseudomonadati; Pseudomonadota; Gammaproteobacteria; Enterobacterales; Enterobacteriaceae.